Molecule: non-coding RNA, 99 nt
Organism: Phaeosphaeria sp. MPI-PUGE-AT-0046c
Lineage: Eukaryota; Fungi; Ascomycota; Dothideomycetes; Pleosporales; Phaeosphaeriaceae
Source: the annotation of a GenBank genome assembly
GCUUGCUUGGCCAAGUGGUAAGGCGUCGCACUUGUAAUGCGAAGAUCGCUCGUGUACGUACCUUUUCCCAAUGCCGUGCGUUCGAAUCUCCAUCUAACA